AGAAUCAACGCUGGCGGCGUGCCUAACACAUGCAAGUCGCACGAGAAAGGGUAGCAAUACCUGAGUACAGUGGCGCACGGGUGAGUAACACGUGAAUUAUCUACCUCCGAGUGGGGAAUAAACUGAGAGAAAUCUUAGCUAAUACCGCAUAACACUUACGAGUCAAAGCAGCAAUGCGCUUGGAGAGGAGUUCGCGGCAGGAUUAGUUAGUUGGCGGGGUAAUGGCCACCAAGACGAUGGAUCUGUAUCC
RNAcentral lists this ribosomal RNA (250 nucleotides) under uncultured bacterium. RNAcentral describes it as "partial small subunit ribosomal RNA". It matches the Rfam family "Bacterial small subunit ribosomal RNA", at positions 26 to 288 of the family's 1533-position model. The record is from RNAcentral.